CCGUCAGGGCGAAGCCUGUCAGCAAUGCCGCGUGAGUGAUGAAGGCCUUAGGGUUGUAAAGCUCUUUUACCCGGGAAGAUAAUGACUGUACCGGGAGAAUAAGCCCCGGCUAACUCCGUGCCAGCAGCCGCGGUAAUACGGAGGGGGCUAGCGUUGUUCGGAAUUACUGGGCGUAAGGCGCACGUAGGCGGCUUUGUAAGUUAGAGGUGAAAGCCCGGGGCUCAACCCCGGAACUGCCUUUAAGACUGCAUCGCUUGAACGUCGGAGAGGUGAGUGGAAUUCCGAGUGUAGAGGUGAAAUUCGUAGAUAUUCGGGGGGGGGGGGGGGGGCGAAGGCGGCUCACUGGACGACUGUUGACGCUGAGGUGCGAAA
Molecule: ribosomal RNA, 372 nt
Filed under: uncultured bacterium
Lineage: Bacteria
Description: partial 16S ribosomal RNA
Rfam family: Bacterial small subunit ribosomal RNA
Source: RNAcentral